UAACAAAAACAUGGUUUUUUGAUUAAUAAUUUAAGAUUGGUUCUGCUCACUGAAUUAAAAAAUUUAAAGAGCUGCAGUAUUUUGACUGUGCAAAGGUAGCAAAAUCACUUGUUUUUUAAUUGUGAACUGGAAUGAAAGAGCUGAUGAGAUAUAAACUGUCUCAAAUUAAUUAAUAGAAAUUGAAAUUUAAGUUAAAAUUCUUAAAUAAUAUUAUUAGACGAGAAGACCCUAUAGAAUUUUAUAAAUUUUUUUACUUUUAUAAUAAGUUUAGUUUAAAUAGGAAUAAAAUUUAAAUUUAUUUGGUUGGGAGGAUUAUUAAAUUUGUUUAACUUUAAUUUUUAAAGCCAAUAAUUUUUGAAUGACUGAUUUUAAAAUAAUUAAAAGAUUAAAUUACCUUAGGGAUAACAGCGUAAUGUUUUUGGAGAGAUCAUAUUAAUAAAAAUGUUUGCGACCUCGAUGUUGAAUUAAGAUAAAAAUUAAAUGUAGAAGUUUAAUAUUUAAGUCUGUUCGACUUUUAAAAUCUUACGUGAUCUGAGUUC
RNAcentral lists this ribosomal RNA (539 nucleotides) under Neozeleboria sp. MSPW40. RNAcentral's name for it is "partial 16S ribosomal RNA". The stretch from base 401 to 539 matches the Rfam family "Bacterial large subunit ribosomal RNA", at positions 2473 to 2612 of the family's 2925-position model. Lineage: Eukaryota; Metazoa; Arthropoda; Insecta; Hymenoptera; Thynnidae. The record is from RNAcentral.